GACGAACGCUGGCGGCGUGCUUAACACAUGCAAGUCGAACGGAAAGGCCUCUUUCGGGGGGUACUCGAGUGGCGAACGGGUGAGUAACACGUGAGUAACCUGCCCUUGACUUUGGGAUAACUUCAGGAAACUGGGGCUAAUACCGGAUAGGAGCUCCUGCUGCAUGGUGGGGGUUGGAAAGUUUCGGCGGCUGGGGAUGGACUCGCGGCUUAUCAGCUUGUUGGUGGGGUAGUGGCUUACCAAGGCUUUGACGGGUAGCCGGCCUGAGAGGGUGACCGGCCACAUUGGGACUGAGAUACGGCCCAGACUCCUACGGGAGGCAGCAGGGGGGAAUAUUGCACAAUGGGUGGAAGCCUGAUGCAGCAACGCCGUGUGCGGGAUGACGGCCUUCGGGUUGUAAACCGCUUUCGCUCAUGACGAAGCUUUGUGUGACGGUAGUGGGUAAAGAAGCACCGGCUAACUACGUG
Molecule: ribosomal RNA, 467 nt
Filed under: uncultured bacterium
Lineage: Bacteria
Description: partial 16S ribosomal RNA
Rfam family: Bacterial small subunit ribosomal RNA
Source: RNAcentral